CCCUUAGAUGUUCUGGGCCGCACGCGCGCUACACUGACUGGUUCAUCGAGUAUACAACCUUGACUGAUAGGUCUGGGUAAUCUUCUCAAAGCCAGUCGUGCUGGGGAUAGAUUAUUGUAAUUUUCAAUCUUCAACGAGGAAUUCCUAGUAAACGCGAGUCAUCAACUCGCAUUGAUUACGUCCCUGCCCUUUGUACACACCGCCCGUCGCACCUACCGAUUGGAUGGUCCGGUGAAGCCUCGGGAUUGUGGUUCUUGCCGCUUUAUUGUGGCGUGACCGCGAGAACUUGUCUAAACCUUAUCAUCUAGAGGAAGGUGAAGUCGUAACA
RNAcentral lists this ribosomal RNA (328 nucleotides) under uncultured eukaryote. Its description in RNAcentral is "partial 18S ribosomal RNA". It matches the Rfam family "Eukaryotic small subunit ribosomal RNA", at positions 1470 to 1796 of the family's 1831-position model. The record is from RNAcentral.